This 468-nucleotide ribosomal RNA is filed under the name uncultured bacterium. RNAcentral's name for it is "partial 16S ribosomal RNA". The stretch from base 48 to 468 matches the Rfam family "Bacterial small subunit ribosomal RNA", at positions 38 to 507 of the family's 1533-position model. The record is from RNAcentral.
GGGGGGGGGGGGGGGGGGGGGGGGGGGGGGGGGGGGGGGGGGGGGGGGGGGGCGGGUGGGGGGUGGGCGAGGGGCGGGCGGGGGAGGGACACGGGAGUGGCCGGCCCUUGGCGUUGGGGUCGCGUCCGGGAACGGGGGCUAAUACCGGAUAGGCGCUCCGGCUGCAUGGUGGGGGUGGGCAAGUUGCGGCGGUUGGGGAUGGACUCGCGGCUUACCCGCUUGUUGGUGGGGUAGUGGCUUACCAAGGCUUUGCCGGGUAGCCGGCCUGAGAGGGUGACCGGCCACAUUGGGACUGAGAUACGGCCCAGACUCCUACGGGAGGCAGCAGUGGGGAAUAUUGCACAAUGGGCGGAAGCCUGAUGCAGCAACGCCGCGUGCGGGAUGACGGCCUUCGGGUUGUAAACCGCUUUCGCCUGUGACGAAGCGUGAGUGACGGUAAUGGGUAAAGAAGCACCGGCUAACUACGUG